Molecule: transfer RNA, 85 nt
Filed under: Thioploca ingrica
Lineage: Bacteria; Pseudomonadati; Pseudomonadota; Gammaproteobacteria; Thiotrichales; Thiotrichaceae
Also listed under: 16 other names
Description: tRNA-Tyr (GTA) (tRNA-Tyr-GTA-1-1)
Rfam family: tRNA
About the family: Transfer RNA (tRNA) molecules are approximately 80 nucleotides in length. Their secondary structure includes four short double-helical elements and three loops (D, anti-codon, and T loops). Further hydrogen bonds mediate the characteristic L-shaped molecular structure. tRNAs have two regions of fundamental functional importance: the anti-codon, which is responsible for specific mRNA codon recognition, and the 3' end, to which the tRNAs corresponding amino acid is attached (by aminoacyl-tRNA synthetases). tRNAs cope with the degeneracy of the genetic code in two manners: having more than one tRNA (with a specific anti-codon) for a particular amino acid; and 'wobble' base-pairing, i.e. permitting non-standard base-pairing at the 3rd anti-codon position.
Source: RNAcentral
GGAGGGGUUCCCGAGCGGUCAAAGGGGGCAGACUGUAAAUCUGUUGGCUCAGCCUUCGGAGGUUCGAAUCCUCCCCCCUCCACCA